UGUUUGGUGGCUGAGUUGAAGCGAUAGACUGUAGAUCUAUUAACGGAGUUAAGUUUCCCCAACAA
Molecule: transfer RNA, 65 nt
Filed under: Buccinum undatum (waved whelk)
Lineage: Eukaryota; Metazoa; Mollusca; Gastropoda; Neogastropoda; Buccinidae
Also listed under: 2 other names
Description: tRNA-Tyr
Rfam family: tRNA
About the family: Transfer RNA (tRNA) molecules are approximately 80 nucleotides in length. Their secondary structure includes four short double-helical elements and three loops (D, anti-codon, and T loops).
Source: RNAcentral